CCAAGGAGUCUAGCAUGUGCGCGAGUCAUUGGGACUCUAACGAAACCUAAAGGCGCAAUGAAAGUGAAGGUUCGCCUAGCGCGAACCGAGGGAGGAUGGACGGUCGUUCGUGGCCGUCCCGCACUCCCUGGGCGUCUCGUUCUCAUCGCGAGAAGAGGCGCACCAAGAGCGUACACGCUGGGACCCGAAAGAUGGUGAACUAUGCCUGGUCAGGACGAAGUCAGGGGAAACCCUGAUGGAGGUCCGUAGCGAUUCUGACGUGCAAAUCGAUCGUCGGAACUGGGUAUAGGGGCGAAAGACUAAUCGAACCAUCUAGUAGCUGGUUCCCUCCGAAGUUUCCCUCAGGAUAGCUGGCGCUCGCUUCUCGCGAGUCUCAUUCGGUAAAGCGAAUGAUUAGAGGCAUUGGGGUCGAAACGGCCUCAACCUAUUCUCAAACUUUAAAUGGGUGAGAUCUCCGGCUUGCUUGAACUGUGAAGCCGCGAGAUAUCGGAUCAGAGUGCCAAGUGGGCCACUUUUG
This 517-nucleotide ribosomal RNA is filed under the name Callistethus specularis. RNAcentral's name for it is "eukaryotic LSU rRNA". It matches the Rfam family "Eukaryotic large subunit ribosomal RNA", at positions 666 to 1139 of the family's 3401-position model. Lineage: Eukaryota; Metazoa; Arthropoda; Insecta; Coleoptera; Scarabaeidae. The record is from RNAcentral.